GACGAACGCUGGCGGCGUGCUUAACACAUGCAAGUCGAACGGUGAACCUCUUCGGAGGGGAUCAGUGGCGAACGGGUGAGUAACACGUGGGCAACCUGCCCCCGGCUCUGGGAUAACUCCAAGAAAUUGGGGCUAAUACCGGAUGUUCACCGCUUCCCGCAUGGGUGGUGGUGGAAAGGGUUUCCGGCUGGGGAUGGGCCCGCGGCCUAUCAGCUUGUUGGUGGGGUAGUGGCCUACCAAGGCGACGACGGGUAGCCGGCCUGAGAGGGUGACCGGCCACACUGGGACUGAGACACGGCCCAGACUCCUACGGGAGGCAGCAGUGGGGAAUAUUGCGCAAUGGGCGGAAGCCUGACGCAGCGACGCCGCGUGGGGGAUGACGGCCUUCGGGUUGUAAACCUCUUUCAACAGGGACGAAGCGCAAGUGACGGUACCUGCAGAAGAAGCACCGGCCAACUACGUG
Molecule: ribosomal RNA, 463 nt
Filed under: uncultured bacterium
Lineage: Bacteria
Description: partial 16S ribosomal RNA
Rfam family: Bacterial small subunit ribosomal RNA
Source: RNAcentral